Molecule: non-coding RNA, 183 nt
Filed under: Verrucomicrobiota bacterium
Lineage: Bacteria; Pseudomonadati; Verrucomicrobiota
Description: Verrucomicrobia bacterium 6S RNA
Rfam family: 6S / SsrS RNA
About the family: E. coli 6S RNA was the first non coding RNA to be sequenced, but its function was unknown until recently. It consists of 184 nucleotides that fold into an extended hairpin structure with a large single-stranded internal bulge.
Source: RNAcentral
UUUGCCCUGCCUAUGCUCGUGAUUAGAAACUAUGUCCUUGAACCGUAGUUGAUAAGUCAUGGGACUGUAGUUGCGGUUGUGGCCGACAGGCCUUGAUUGGAAGUCGAAAGCAGCCCGGCGGGUCCCGCCUGUUUCUAAAAUAAGUUCAAAGGAACUGUUACACACGGCACUGGCGGGGGUUUU